This is a long non-coding RNA of Pyrus x bretschneideri (Chinese white pear), 1922 nucleotides long. RefSeq lists it as uncharacterized. The transcript is spliced from 2 exons. The record is from RefSeq and is a predicted model, not a curated record. NCBI's taxonomy places the organism in Eukaryota, Viridiplantae, Streptophyta, Magnoliopsida, Rosales, Rosaceae.
AACUGUUCAACUGUUGGAUUUGAUUGGAUUUAAUCCAAAACACGCGUGAUAAGACUUUCUGCCAAAGAAAUGCGUGCCUUCACCAAACUUAAUGAAGACUUUUCUUCUUCCUGCCAAGUUGCGUUUCCAUCAUCAAAGGAAAUGAAAUUAUGAAACUUUUCUUCUUCCUGCCAAGAAACCAAAACCAUUUCUCAAAAAUCUUACAAAACCCACAAAUCCCUAGAAUCCAAUCCAGGAAUCGUCCUUGAAACUGGGUUUUUCUCCCACAAAACCAGUUCCUUUCCCGACCCAAAUAUUCCUUCUUUCUUUAAUUUCAGAUGGAUCUUCACAAAAAUUCAACAACUAUCGUUCUGGUUUGUUUCUGUGAUUCUCUCCACGUUGUUUUCCAACACGUCGACAAACUUCGUGUUCUCCGUGGGUUGGGUCUGAUUCUACAUCUCAAAAUCCUUAUACCUGCCCCGCCCUGACCUGUUGCAUUUUAAAGCGGUCCAGUCCGGUCCCUUCAAAUUUGGGCCUGACCCGGCCCGGCCCGUGCCCGUAGGAGAGUACAUCCCAUAUAUCGAACAUUUUAUUCUCUAAUCUUUUGAUUAAAUAAUUGGCUAUCAACAGGAGGACAAGAGACAUGUUAUUGUUACCUCCCCCAAAUGACUAUCUACUAAAACACAGGACAAAAGCACUGUUCAUUAACAGUGUUUUGACGCUUUUGGCCCUGCUUUGUCUUCCCGCACACUAUCUUUUUUCCAAACUCUACAGGGAAAUGACGGAACUGUCCAUGAAGGACACGCGUGGAUCGUCUAAUUGAAAACCUGUCUACAAGCUGUGCUGUCGUUCUCUCUCUUCGACAACACUCUUCUUCUCUGACGAAAAAUCUGACCAGAGGCUCAGAAACCUCUCGCUCAAUUUUCUCGAACUCUCAGCAAACUUCAUCCCAUCAAACUUCAAUUCGUAUUAUUGAAGAAAUGAAUAAUAAAUUUUCUCUCAGAAAUUCAAGAAAUGAAGAUUCUGGGUCUGUCUUUGUCUGUAGUGGAGACCCAAUCUGAAUUGUGUGUUCUUCAAGGUCGAUCUCGGCCGAGGGAUUUAGAUCUCUUUAUUUUUCCAGAUUUUCGAAUUAUUCCUUUAGAAUUAGGGAAUUAAAUUGUUCCUAUUAUUCGGUAAAAAUCUAAAAUAACUUGCAGCUUUGAUUCGGCCUUUGCAUGUUUGGUUUGUGGUAUUUGAAAUUAUGGUUUGUUAUGGGGAUUAGAUUUUGGGAUUUAAGUUGAAUUCGUAUGGGUAUUUUUUCAGAAAUUUCUGUUGUUUCUGUGUUGGAAUUAAAACAACUAUGCAUGCUGGAUUUUCACAUAAGUGUCUCUGCUGUUUUUUUUUUUUUUUUUUUUUGAGUGUUUAUAUUGACAAUUAUCAACAAUUGAACAAGAGGAACAGGCGCUGAACAGGCAAAGAAGAGCCGGUAGGUGACAAUUACCAACAAUGAAGAAGACUGCAAUACCACCAACUCAACAGACAGAGGUUGCACCUCUCAACUUGAGUGGCAAAUGAAGAGCUAGAAGGAACAGGCGCUGAUUCCCAAAGCCUCUAUGCAAGGGGAUUUGAUUUCAUUGACUUUAUGGGCAUUUGUAUCAAUGGUCAAUAAAUUUAAAAAGCCAUUGACUGCAGGAUCUGAGUAACCUUGAUGCGCUGCUCAGGUCAGCUAUGGCUUUUGGAUGGUUAAGGAAUAAGUCGUAAACCUCAGAUUUUUAUUUUCUCUCCUCUUUCCUCUUUAUUUUUUCUUGGUACAAGUUUUUAUUUAUUUUAUUUUGAAAUGUUACUGGCUGAGGGCUAUUUUUGUUGGUUUGGGUAAAGUACUUUUGUGUGUUUUUGUUAUCCCCCUCGAGUGUACCGAUGUACCCAAAACCCGCUUCAAGAUCAAGGUUCUUCUUUCUGUUCUA